GGAUCUCGUUUCUGAUAAACAGAUGAUGCAAGAGGAGCAGCCUCUCCAGGUUGCUAGAUGCACUAAGAUUAUUAGUCCAAACACUGAAGAUGCCAAUUUGUGGUUGGCCUUGGCGAUAAAGUGUCUCCCACUGACAUUGAAGAAGGCAUGCGCGUUGGAGUUGAUAGGAAUAAGUAUCAGAUACAGAUUCCUCGACCUCCCAAAAUCGAUCCUAGUGUCACCAUGAUGACUGUUGAAGAGAAACCUGAUGUUACU
This is a long non-coding RNA of Brassica napus (rape), 255 nucleotides long. RefSeq lists it as uncharacterized. Lineage: Eukaryota; Viridiplantae; Streptophyta; Magnoliopsida; Brassicales; Brassicaceae. The record is from RefSeq and is a predicted model, not a curated record. The transcript has 3 exons.